This 242-nucleotide long non-coding RNA is filed under the name Polistes fuscatus (common paper wasp). RNAcentral describes it as "uncharacterized LOC122518018". The record is from RNAcentral. Lineage: Eukaryota; Metazoa; Arthropoda; Insecta; Hymenoptera; Vespidae.
GGACAUAUAUCCAAUGUCUCAGACAUCCGAGUUAUAAAGGGAACAAAGUAAAAAGACAUUUUCCUGAUUUAACAACGGAAAUAGAUCAUGAAUGCAUGGAUAAGUGCGUUAAAAACUGCAGAACAACCACCAAUCAUGAUUGCAGUUCAAAAUGUUCUCAUUGCAUAAGAAGAAAGAAACAGAGAACUCAAAUCAUUACGGAAUACGAGACCGAGUGUAUAGAGGGAGAUUGUAAUAAGAAA